RNAcentral lists this ribosomal RNA (253 nucleotides) under uncultured bacterium. RNAcentral's name for it is "partial 16S ribosomal RNA". It matches the Rfam family "Bacterial small subunit ribosomal RNA", at positions 524 to 776 of the family's 1533-position model. The record is from RNAcentral.
UACGGAGGGUGCAAGCGUUAAUCGGAAUUACUGGGCGUAAAGGGCACGCAGGCGGUCUGUCAAGUCAGAGGUGAAAUCCCAGGGCUCAACCCGGGAACUGCAUUCGAAACUGGCAGACUAGAGUCGUGUAGAGGGGGGUAGAAUUCCAGGUGUAGCGGUGAAAUGCGUAGAGAUCUGGAGGAAUACCGGUGGCGAAGGCGGCCUCCUGGACAAAGACUGACGCUCAGGUGCGAAAGCGUGGGGAGCGAACAGG